Molecule: ribosomal RNA, 907 nt
Filed under: uncultured bacterium
Lineage: Bacteria
Description: bacterial SSU rRNA
Rfam family: Bacterial small subunit ribosomal RNA
Source: RNAcentral
ACGCUAGCUAUAGGCUUAACACAUGCAAGUCGAGGGGGAACGGCAUUAUGUGCUUGCACAUUUUGGACGUCGACCGGCGCACGGGUGAGUAUCGCGUAUCCAACCUGCCCUUUACUUGGGGAUACCCCGUUGAAAGACGGCCUAAUACCCGAUGUAAUUCAUUGAUGGCAUCAGAUAUGAAUAAAAGAUUUAUCGGUAAAGGAUGGGGAUGCGUCUGAUUAGCUUGUUGGUGAGGUAAAGGCUCACCAAGGCAACGAUCAGUAGGGGUUCUGAGAGGAAGGUCCCCCACAUUGGAACUGAGACACGGUCCAAACUCCUACGGGAGGCAGCAGUGAGGAAUAUUGGUCAAUGGGCGCAAGCCUGAACCAGCCAAGUAGCGUGCAGGAAGACGGCCCUAUGGGUUGUAAACUGCUUUUAUACGAGAAUAAUUUGAUGCACGUGUGCGUUAUUGCAUGUAUCGUAUGAAUAAGGACCGGCUAAUUCCGUGCCAGCAGCCGCGGUAAUACGGAAGGUCCAGGCGUUAUCCGGAUUUAUUGGGUUUAAAGGGAGUGUAGGCGGUUUGUUAAGCGUGUUGUGAAAUUUAGGUGCUCAACAUUUAACUUGCAGCGCGAACUGUCAGACUUGAGUACACGCAACGUAUGCGGAAUUCAUGGUGUAGCGGUGAAAUGCUUAGAUAUCAUGAAGAACUCCGAUUGCGAAGGCAGCAUACGGGAGUGUAACUGACGCUUAAGCUCGAAGGUGCGGGUAUCGAACAGGAUUAGAUACCCUGGUAGUCCGCACAGUAAACGAUGGAUGCCCGCUGUUAGCGCCUGGCGUUAGCGGCUAAGCGAAAGCAUUAAGCAUCCCACCUGGGGAGUACGCCGGCAACGGUGAAACUCAAAGGAAUUGACGGGGGCCCGCACAAGCG